Jaculus jaculus (lesser Egyptian jerboa) is the source of this 136-nucleotide small nucleolar RNA. Its record names the gene SNORA70. It matches the Rfam family "Small nucleolar RNA SNORA70". Rfam says of the family: snoRNA U70 seems to be exclusive to mammals and is a member of the H/ACA class of snoRNA which contain H (ANANNA) and ACA box motifs. H/ACA box snoRNAs are involved in the conversion of uridines to pseudouridines (5-ribosyluracil) a constituent of structural RNAs (transfer, ribosomal, small nuclear, and small nucleolar). The record is from Ensembl. NCBI's taxonomy places the organism in Eukaryota, Metazoa, Chordata, Mammalia, Rodentia, Dipodidae.
CUGCAACCAAUUAAGCUGUCAGUGUUCCUUUCCUCAUGGGGACCAGGUGUGCAGUGGCUGCAAACAGCAGCCUCCUUGGGUAGUGUAUGUAGCCUGUUUCUUGUAUAAGUUGCCCUAAGGGAUGUUGGAGACAUCU